CUCAGUUGGUAGAGCAGCUCACUCGUAAUGAGCAGGUCAGGAGUUCGAGUCUCCUCACCA
RNAcentral lists this transfer RNA (60 nucleotides) under bacterium DOLZORAL124_64_63. RNAcentral's name for it is "tRNA-Thr". It matches the Rfam family "tRNA", at positions 11 to 65 of the family's 71-position model. From Rfam's summary of the family: Transfer RNA (tRNA) molecules are approximately 80 nucleotides in length. Their secondary structure includes four short double-helical elements and three loops (D, anti-codon, and T loops). The record is from RNAcentral.